CGGCGGACGGGUGAGUAACGCGUGGGUAACCUACCCCAAAGUCCGGGAUAACAGCGGGAAACCGCUGCUAAUACCGGAUGUCUUUACCUUGGGGCAUCUUGAGGUAAAGAAAGGUAACGCUUUGGGAUGGGCCCGCGUCCCAUUAGCUAGUUGGUGAGGUAACGGCUCACCAAGGCGACGAUGGGUAGCCGGCCUGAGAGGGUGGACGGCCACACUGGGACUGAGACACGGCCCAGACUCCUACGGGAGGCAGCAGUAGGGAAUAUUGCGCAAUGGACGGAAGUCUGACGCAGCGACGCCGCGUGAGCGAUGAAGGUCUUCGGAUCGUAAAGCUCUGUCCUUGGGGAAGAAGGCGAAAGCUUGACGGUACCCAAGAAGAAAGCCCCGGCUAACUACGUGCCAGCAGCCGCGGUAAUACGUAGGGGGCGAGCGUUGUCCGGAAUUACUGGGCGUAAA
This 456-nucleotide ribosomal RNA is filed under the name uncultured bacterium. Its description in RNAcentral is "bacterial SSU rRNA". It matches the Rfam family "Bacterial small subunit ribosomal RNA", at positions 96 to 564 of the family's 1533-position model. The record is from RNAcentral.